GCAAGUCGAGCGGAAACGAGAAGUAGCUUGCUACUUCGGCGUCGAGCGGCGGACGGGUGAGUAAUGCCUAGGAAAUUGCCCUGAUGUGGGGGAUAACCAUUGGAAACGAUGGCUAAUACCGCAUAAUGCCUUCGGGCCAAAGAGGGGGACCUUCGGGCCUCUCGCGUCAGGAUAUGCCUAGGUGGGAUUAGCGAGUGGGUGAGGUAAUGGCUCACCAAGGCGACGAGCCCUAGCUGGUCUGAGAGGAUGAGC
This 252-nucleotide ribosomal RNA is filed under the name uncultured bacterium. RNAcentral describes it as "partial 16S ribosomal RNA". It matches the Rfam family "Bacterial small subunit ribosomal RNA", at positions 57 to 305 of the family's 1533-position model. The record is from RNAcentral.